Molecule: ribosomal RNA, 261 nt
Filed under: uncultured archaeon
Lineage: Archaea
Description: partial 16S ribosomal RNA
Rfam family: Archaeal small subunit ribosomal RNA
Source: RNAcentral
AGGGUGUAAACGCUGCAGACUUGGUGUUGGGAACCCUUUGGGGGUGCUCAGUGCCGGAGAGAAGUUGUUAAGUCUGCUACUUGGGGAGUACGUCCGCAAGGAUGAAACUUAAAGGAAUUGGCGGGGGAGCACCGCAACGGGAGGAGCGUGCGGUUUAAUUGGAUUCAACGCCGAAAAACUCACCAGCAGCGACUGUUACAUGAAAGUCAGGUUGAUGACCUUACUAGAUUUUCAGAGAGGUGGUGCAUGGCGUCAGUGACU